Molecule: ribosomal RNA, 530 nt
Filed under: Vibrio vulnificus
Lineage: Bacteria; Pseudomonadati; Pseudomonadota; Gammaproteobacteria; Vibrionales; Vibrionaceae
Description: bacterial SSU rRNA
Rfam family: Bacterial small subunit ribosomal RNA
Source: RNAcentral
CAGCAGUGGGGAAUAUUGCACAAUGGGCGCAAGCCUGAUGCAGCCAUGCCGCGUGUGUGAAGAAGGCCUUCGGGUUGUAAAGCACUUUCAGUAGGGAGGAAGGUGGUAGUGUUAAUAGCACUGUCAUUUGACGUUACCUACAGAAGAAGCACCGGCUAACUCCGUGCCAGCAGCCGCGGUAAUACGGAGGGUGCGAGCGUUAAUCGGAAUUACUGGGCGUAAAGCGCAUGCAGGUGGUUUGUUAAGUCAGAUGUGAAAGCCCCGGGCUCAACCUGGGAAUUGCAUUUGAAACUGGCAAACUAGAGUACUGUAGAGGGGGGUAGAAUUUCAGGUGUAGCGGUGAAAUGCGUAGAGAUCUGAAGGAAUACCGGUGGCGAAGGCGGCCCCCUGGACAGAUACUGACACUCAGAUGCGAAAGCGUGGGGAGCAAACAGGAUUAGAUACCCUGGUAGUCCACGCCGUAAACGAUGUCUACUUGGAGGUUGUGGCCUUGAGCCGUGGCUUUCGGAGCUAACGCGUUAAGUAGACCG